AACGAACGCUGGCGGCAUGCCUAACACAUGCAAGUCGAACGAGACCUUCGGGUCUAGUGGCGCACGGGUGCGUAACGCGUGGGAACCUGCCCUUAGGUUCGGAAUAACUCCCCGAAAGGGGUGCUAAUACCGGUUAAUGUCUUCGGACCAAAGAUUUAUCGCCUUUGGAUGGGCCCGCGUUGGAUUAGCUAGUUGGUAGUGUAAAAGCCUACCAAGGCGACGAUCCAUAGCUGGUCUGAGAGGAUGAUCAGCCACACUGGGACUGAGACACGGCCCAGACUCCUACGGGAGGCAGCAGUGGGGAAUAUUGGACAAUGGGCGAAAGCAUGAUCAAGCAAUGCCGCGUGAGUGAUGAAGGCGUUAGGGUUGUAAAGCUCUUUUAACCGGGAUGAUAAUGACAGUACCGGGAGAAUAAGCGCCGGCUAACUCCGUG
This 433-nucleotide ribosomal RNA is filed under the name uncultured bacterium. RNAcentral describes it as "partial 16S ribosomal RNA". It matches the Rfam family "Bacterial small subunit ribosomal RNA", at positions 29 to 507 of the family's 1533-position model. The record is from RNAcentral.